UAUGAAGAACGUAGCGAAAUGCGAUACGUAAUGUGAAUUGCAGAAUUCAGUGAAUCAUCGAAUCUUUGAACGCAUAUUGCGCUCUUUGGUAUUCCGAAGAGCAUGCUUGUUUGAGUAUCAGUAAACACCUCAAAGACUUCAAUUUGUUUUGAAUGGCUUUGGACUUGAGCAAUCCCAACACCAGUCUUUACGAUCGGUGGAGGGUUGCUUGAAAUGCAGGUGCAGCUGGACAUUCUCCUGAGCUAAAAGCAUAUUUAUUUAGUCCCGUCAAACGGAUUAUUACUUUUGCUGCAGCUAACAUAAAGGGAGUUUGACCGUAUUGGCUGACUGAUGCAGGAUUUCACAAGGGUCGGCAACGAUUCUUGUAAAACUCGAUCUCAAAUCAAGUAAGACUACCCGCUGAACUUAAGCAUAUCAAUAAGCGGAGGA
Molecule: unclassified non-coding RNA, 429 nt
Filed under: soil metagenome
Description: partial contains 5.8S ribosomal RNA, internal transcribed spacer 2, and large subunit ribosomal RNA
Rfam family: 5.8S ribosomal RNA (bases 2-120)
Source: RNAcentral